This is a long non-coding RNA of Lotus japonicus, 2458 nucleotides long. RefSeq lists it as uncharacterized. The record is from RefSeq and is a predicted model, not a curated record. NCBI's taxonomy places the organism in Eukaryota, Viridiplantae, Streptophyta, Magnoliopsida, Fabales, Fabaceae. The transcript is spliced from 3 exons.
UCCUCCAGCAAUCUCCUUCUUUAUUUCACUGAUGUUUUGGUUUCUCCUUUUUCAGCCGUUUUCAUUCUUCCAGGGCUUUUAAUCGAGUGCACGUUCUCCCUUUCAUGUCUUCCGUUCCAUCUUCACUCUCUUUGCCUCUCUGUCUCUUAUGUUUCUUUGUUUGCGAUGUUGAGGCCAAGGAUUCCUCUCCCCAUUACAUCGCAAGGCCCUCUCUUAAACCCCCAAAGUUGUGGCUGACGUUUUUUUCCGCAGCGGCAUCGGCAUCGGCAUCGGCAUCGGCGACGAGGUGAAGACCCUGAGGGCUCCGGCGACGUGCGAGGUAGGGGAGAUAGGUGGAUGGCGAACUGAGGAAUCGGUCCCGUCCAUUAGGAACUGAGGAAUCGACUGCGAGAUUCGCACAGCAGGGUUUCUUCUCGAAUUUACUGUCCUUAGAUUCUUUGUUUGUUUGUUUUUUUUCUCUGUUCUGAAUCUGUCAGCUACCCCUCUAAACUAUGAUUUGUUUGCUUUAUCUAUUUAUUUUACAAAUUGGGUGACAGAAAGGUUGAAAGACAGGCUAGCGGAGUUUUCAAAAUGUGAGUAUGAGCUGUUUGAUGAAUUGACCAGUUUAAUCAGAGGAGAAGCAUUGGAUGGCAUAGAGAUGAUAACACACCCUACCUCAAGCAACAUCACCUUUCAGUGAGGUUUAUUCAACCUUUUUGUACAUAUUGAUAUCCUGUUAUAAUUUGCACUCUUGCUGAUAGACAACUUUUGCCUUCAAUUGGUAAAACCAUUGAAGGCUCAUGUAGUCAAGGUGUUAUUCUCACAGAAGAAAGAAGCUUUAUCCUCCGAAACUGAAGCGGUGAAUCCAGAUGUGAUACGAACCAGGUCAAAGCCAUAUCCUCUUCAUUUCCAUUUUUCUUUUCGUGAGAGGGAAGGGCUUGAAGGUGGAAUUUGCAUUGUCAUCUAAUUUUUAUCCUGAUUGAGUGAAUUUUUCCCGUAUGGAAAAAGGAUACCUGACCAGGGUCUUCAGGGAAUAUACAAUACCUCUGAUUUCCUUGAACCUAACAUUAAAAUAAUAAUUCAAUUAGUAUCACAUAAUUACUCAAUUAGUAGUUGUGCUGGUCGUGCACAUGCAGGAAGAAGAAAGAGUGAUUAUUCUUUGUUGCUUUGGGAAGUGAAAAACAUCUUUAUGUGGUAAUUAACCAGAAAUUGGUUGAUAUAUUAUUUCUUACAGAUUGUUGAUGCCUCAUGUUCCUUGAUCCACUCCCCAUGUAUGGCAAGCUAAGAGCCUGAAAAUAAGGAAAAGAGUAUUUUCCAGAACUUUGAAAAGUAAAGAAUUGUUUGUUCGAAGAAUUUUCUUUGUUGUGUAACAUUUCUCAUGUUGAAAUAACUUUAUGUGUCGGACCGGGUCAGGGCAGGUUUAUGCGAAUAUGAAUUCCCUCAGUAUUGUGACUCUCAAAGAUGAGUUUCACCAAGAUGGAAAUGAGAAGGUUUGACAUAUAAUUCAUCAAAUACCUCUGUUAUUGCGAGUUUCAAUGAGCAUAACCUGAGGUCUGUUCUGCUUUUAUUAGUUGUUUCUUGAUACUACAGUGCUGAAUUUUAUAUUUGUGUGCAUUUGCCCUUGAGUAAUAGAUUAGGAAGCUUUAAAUGGAUAGUUUUAGACAUUGAAUAGCACUUGACUUUACAUAAGACUUGGACUCUAAAAUAUCAAAUCGCUUAAAAGAGGAAACUGGAUAAAAGAAAAGGGUGGUAGGAUUCUACCAGUUAAAUUGUUUGACUGAGUCUAUUUUCAAAUUUAUAUUAUUUUGAUGGUUUGAAAUUCUGAUGUAACAAUUGCAAUGCAUGCCAAUGAGUAUAUAGUUUCUGAAAAGUUUCUUUUCAUGACUCUUUCUAGAUUCUUUUGUCUAUCCGGUUACUCACUCCCUAUUUAUUUGUUGGCUUGCUGAAAAAAAUUCAGGAAACAAACUCAUGCUUUUGUAUUCAUUGCUUUCACACUUAGUGGCCUCCCAGGCACUGGGAACCAAAUGAAUUCAAUAUGUUACCAAGAAGAAGCAAAAUGCAGGUUGUGCCAAGAAGAAGUCAAUGGUGGAGCACACACAAGAGGAUCAUGAAGCUCACUCAUGGGAACAUCAAAUACAGUACCAAGUCAAGAGCCUAGACAAUGUGCAACUGCAUGUGUUCAGUGAAGCUCCAUCCUCAAGCUCAUCUUCAUCUUCUUGCCACAGUCCUAUUCUUGCCAAAUUUCUCAGAUUCAAAUUACAAGCUGAGAUGAUGAAGGGUCUCAAACAAUCCUCUUUGUGACAUGAGAAUGUGAAAUCAAGCUAGCAUUAGUUUUAAAGUGAUCCAUGUUUAUUUAUCAUAAAAAAGUGAUCCAUGUUUAUGAUAUGAAUUACUUGAAUUUGAUGGCUUAUAAGGAUUGUGAUUAUAUAUGGUGGGGUGGUGUUAAAAAUUGAGAAUAAGAACAAGCACUUUGCACAAA